Molecule: ribosomal RNA, 586 nt
Filed under: Russula sp.
Lineage: Eukaryota; Fungi; Basidiomycota; Agaricomycetes; Russulales; Russulaceae
Description: partial small subunit ribosomal RNA
Rfam family: Bacterial small subunit ribosomal RNA
Source: RNAcentral
UCAGCAGUCCAAAAUAUUAGUCAAUGCUCGAAAGAGUGAACUAGCUAACUGAAAUCAAUAAAAAUAAUUGAUAACAUAAGGGAAAAUAAUGAUAUUACCUUAUUAUUAGUGUCGUCCAAAACUGGUGCCAGAAGACUCGGUAAGGCCAGAGACACAAACGUUAAUCGUCUUAAUCAGGCGUAAAGGGUUUGUAGGCGGCUUUAAAAUUUACUUAUUAAAAAAAAUAAACAUAAAAAAAUAAUAAGUAAAGAAUAAAAGCUAGAAUCAAAUAGAGGAUAUAUGAAAUAAUGCUUAGAGUAGGUCUGAUAUCCUUAGAUACUAAGUAGAAUAUUAAAGGCGAAAGCUUUUUUCCAUUAAUGAUUGACGCUCAGAAACGAAGGUGAGGAUAGGAAAUAGGAUUAGAUACCCAGAAUACUCCUCUCUGUCAACGAUGAAUGGUAGUUAUUAGUAAAAAUUAUUAAUGGCAAUGUUAACACGAUAACCAUUCCGCCUUGUGAGUACAACUGCAAAGUUGAAAACAAAAAAAUUAGUCGGUUUCGGAGCAAACGAAGUGAAGCAUGUUAUUUAAUUCAAUAAUUCCGCAAAA